This 257-nucleotide non-coding RNA is filed under the name Intestinibacter bartlettii. Its description in RNAcentral is "Clostridium bartlettii T-box sequence". It matches the Rfam family "T-box leader". From Rfam's summary of the family: Uncharged tRNA acts as the effector for transcription antitermination of genes in the T-box leader family. T-boxes are found upstream of many aminoacyl-tRNA synthetase genes and some amino acid biosynthetic genes usually in Gram-positive bacteria. Lineage: Bacteria; Bacillati; Bacillota; Clostridia; Peptostreptococcales; Peptostreptococcaceae. The record is from RNAcentral.
AUAAAAGCUUUGACGGAGACAAAAAUGUUCGUUAAUUAAUUACAGAGAGUCGGGAUUGCUGAGAACCGAUGUUAGUUUGAACAUAUAAUGAUCACUCCUAGCUUCCAUGUUGAACGGGUGACUUAUUAAAUAUGGACGUGUGCUAACGUUACAUAGCUAUAGUUAAGAUUUGCUCUGACUAGAAAAAUGAGGGAUAGUCAUUUAUUAGUAUGGCUAUAAAUAAGGUGGUACCGCGGAAUAUAACUUUCGUCCUUAUG